This 1368-nucleotide ribosomal RNA is filed under the name Mycobacterium sp. CCNWQLS10. RNAcentral's name for it is "16S ribosomal RNA". It matches the Rfam family "Bacterial small subunit ribosomal RNA", at positions 91 to 1465 of the family's 1533-position model. The record is from RNAcentral. Lineage: Bacteria; Bacillati; Actinomycetota; Actinomycetes; Mycobacteriales; Mycobacteriaceae.
UCGAGUGGCGAACGGUUGAGUAAAACGUGGGUGAUCUGCCCUGCACUUUGGGAUAAGCCUGGGAAACUGGGUCUAAUACCGAAUACACCCUGCUGGUCGCAUGGCCUGGUGGGGGAAAGCUUUUGCGGUGUGGGAUGGGCCCGCGGCCUAUCAGCUUGUUGGUGAGGUUACGGCUCACCAAGGCGACGACGGGUAGCCGGCCUGAGAGGGUGACCGGCCACACUGGGACUGAGAUACGGCCCAGACUCCUACGGGAGGCAGCAGUGGGGAAUAUUGCACAAUGGGCGCAAGCCUGAUGCAGCGACGCCGCGUGGGGGAUGACGGCCUUCGGGUUGUAAACCUCUUUCAGUAGGGACGAAGCGCACGUGACGGUACCUACAGAAGAAGGACCGGCCAACUACGUGCCAGCAGCCGCGGUAAUACGUAGGGUCCGAGCGUUGUCCGGAAUUACUGGGCGUAAAGAGCUCGUAGGUGGUUUGUCGCGUUGUUCGUGAAAACCGAGGGCUUAACCCUCGGCGUGCGGGCGAUACGGGCAGACUUGAGUACUGCAGGGGAGACUGGAAUUCCUGGUGUAGCGGUGGAAUGCGCAGAUAUCAGGAGGAACACCGGUGGCGAAGGCGGGUCUCUGGGCAGUAACUGACGCUGAGGAGCGAAAGCGUGGGGAGCGAACAGGAUUAGAUACCCUGGUAGUCCACGCCGUAAACGGUGGGUACUAGGUGUGGGUUUCCUUCCUUGGGAUCCGUGCCGUAGCUAACGCAUUAAGUACCCCGCCUGGGGAGUACGGCCGCAAGGCUAAAACUCAAAGAAAUUGACGGGGGCCCGCACAAGCGGCGGAGCAUGUGGAUUAAUUCGAUGCAACGCGAAGAACCUUACCUGGGUUUGACAUGCACAGGACGCUGGUAGAGAUAUCAGUUCCCUUGUGGCCUGUGUGCAGGUGGUGCAUGGCUGUCGUCAGCUCGUGUCGUGAGAUGUUGGGUUAAGUCCCGCAACGAGCGCAACCCUUGUCUCAUGUUGCCAGCACGUUAUGGUGGGGACUCGUGAGAGACUGCCGGGGUCAACUCGGAGGAAGGUGGGGAUGACGUCAAGUCAUCAUGCCCCUUAUGUCCAGGGCUUCACACAUGCUACAAUGGCCGGUACAAAGGGCUGCGAUGCCGUGAGGUGGAGCGAAUCCUUUCAAAGCCGGUCUCAGUUCGGAUCGGGGUCUGCAACUCGACCCCGUGAAGUCGGAGUCGCUAGUAAUCGCAGAUCAGCAACGCUGCGGUGAAUACGUUCCCGGGCCUUGUACACACCGCCCGUCACGUCAUGAAAGUCGGAAACGACCCGAAGCCGGUGGCCUAACCCCUUGUGGGAGGGAGCCGUCGAAGGUGG